This is a non-coding RNA of Schistosoma mansoni, 45 nucleotides long. Lineage: Eukaryota; Metazoa; Platyhelminthes; Trematoda; Strigeidida; Schistosomatidae. The record is from Rfam.
AUCCACAUAACGAGUUCAAAAUAGGACAAAACACACGUCGAGGAU